RNAcentral lists this transfer RNA (74 nucleotides) under Kangiella koreensis DSM 16069. It matches the Rfam family "tRNA". From Rfam's summary of the family: Transfer RNA (tRNA) molecules are approximately 80 nucleotides in length. Lineage: Bacteria; Pseudomonadati; Pseudomonadota; Gammaproteobacteria; Kangiellales; Kangiellaceae. The record is from Rfam by way of RNAcentral.
GCACCUGUAGCUCAGCUGGAUAGAGCGUUGCCCUCCGGAGGCAAAGGUCAGAGGUUCGAAUCCUCUCAGGUGCG